ACGCAUGGUAGGAGAGCGUUCCGUAAGCCUGCGAAGGUGCCUUGUAAAGGGUGCUGGAGGUAUCGGAAGUGCGAAUGCUGACAUGAGUAGCGAUAAAGGGGGUGAAAGGCCCCCUCGCCGUAAGCCCAAGGUUUCCUACGCAACGUUCAUCGGCGUAGGGUGAGUCGGCCCCUAAGGCGAGGCAGAAAUGCGUAGCUGAUGGGAAGCAGGUCAAUAUUCCUGCACCGUCGUUAGAUGCGAUGGGGGGACGGAUCGCGGAAGGUUGUCCGGGUGUUGGAAGUCCCGGUCGCUGCAUUGGAGAAGGCGCUUAGGCAAAUCCGGGCGCAGGAUUCAAGGGUGUGGCGCGAGCGACUUAGGUCGCGAAGCAAUUGGAAGUGGUUCCAAGAAAAGCCUCUAAGCUUCAGUCUAACGAUGACCGUACCGCAAACCGACACAGGUGGGCGAGAUGAGUAUUCUAAGGCGCUUGAGAGAACUCGGGAGAAGGAACUCGGCAAAUUGGUACCGUAACUUCGGGAUAAGGUACGCCCUUGUAGCUUGACUGGCCUGCGCCAGGAGGGUGAAGGGGUUGCAAUAAACUGGUGGCUGCGACUGUUUAAUAAAAACACAGCACUCUGCAAACACGAAAGUGGACGUAUAGGGUGUGACGCCUGCCCGGUGCCGGAAGAUUAAAUGAUGGGGUGCAAGCUCUUGAUUGAAGUCCCGGUAAACGGCGGCCGUAACUAUAACGGUCCUAAGGUAGCGAAAUUCCUUGUCGGGUAAGUUCCGACCUGCACGAAUGGCGUAACGAUGGCCACACUGUCUCCUCCCGAGACUCAGCGAAGUUGAAGUGUUUGUGAUGAUGCAAUCUACCCGCGGCUAGACGGAAAGACCCCAUGAACCUUUACUGUAGCUUUGCAUUGGACUUUGAACCGAUCUGUGUAGGAUAGGUGGGAGGCUAUGAAACCGGAACGCCAGUUUCGGUGGAGCCGUCCUUGAAAUACCACCCUGGUUUGUUUGAGGUUCUAACCUUGGCCCGUGAUCCGGGUCGGGGACAGUGCAUGGUAGGCAGUUUGACUGGGGCGGUCUCCUCCCAAAGCGUAACGGAGGAGUACGAAGGUACGCUAGGUACGGUCGGAAAUCGUGCUGAUAGUGCAAUGGCAUAAGCGUGCUUAACUGCGAGACCGACAAGUCGAGCAGGUGCGAAAGCAGGUCAUAGUGAUCCGGUGGUUCUGUAUGGAAGGGCCAUCGCUCAACGGAUAAAAGGUACUCUGGGGAUAACAGGCUGAUACCGCCCAAGAGUUCAUAUCGACGGCGGUGUUUGGCACCUCGAUGUCGGCUCAUCUCAUCCUGGGGCUGUAGCCGGUCCCAAGGGUAUGGCUGUUCGCCAUUUAAAGAGGUACGUGAGCUGGGUUUAAAACGUCGUGAGACAGUUUGGUCCCUAUCUGCCGUGGGCGUUGGAUAUUUGAAGGGGGCUGCUCCUAGUACGAGAGGACCGGAGUGGACGAACCUCUGGUGUACCGGUUGUGACGCCAGUCGCAUCGCCGGGUAGCUAUGUUCGGAAGAGAUAACCGCUGAAAGCAUCUAAGCGGGAAACUCGCCUUAAGAUGAGAUAUCCCUGGGGACUUGAUCCCCUUGAAGGGUCGUUCGAGACCAGGACGUUGAUAGGUCAGGUGUGUAAGCGCAGUAAUGCGUUCAGCUAACUGAUACUAAUUGCCCGUAAGGCUUGAUCCUAUAACA
This 1716-nucleotide ribosomal RNA is filed under the name Burkholderia ubonensis. Its description in RNAcentral is "bacterial LSU rRNA". It matches the Rfam family "Bacterial large subunit ribosomal RNA", at positions 1221 to 2925 of the family's 2925-position model. The record is from RNAcentral. Lineage: Bacteria; Pseudomonadati; Pseudomonadota; Betaproteobacteria; Burkholderiales; Burkholderiaceae.